GCAGUAGCCGCGGUAAUACGAAGGGGGCUAGCGUUGUUCGGAAUUACUGGGCGUAAAGCGCACGUAGGCGGAUAUUUAAGUCAGGGGUGAAAUCCCGCAGCUCAACUGCGGAACUGCCUUUGAUACUGGGUAUCUUGAGUAUGGAAGAGGUUAGUGGAAUUGCGAGUGUAGAGGUGAAAUUCGUAGAUAUUCGCAGGAACACCAGUGGCGAAGGCGGCUAACUGGUCCAUAACUGACGCUGAGGUGCGAAAGCGUGGGGAGCAAACAGGAUUAGAUACCCCCGUAGUCCCUGUCUCUUAUAC
This 302-nucleotide ribosomal RNA is filed under the name uncultured bacterium. RNAcentral's name for it is "partial 16S ribosomal RNA". It matches the Rfam family "Bacterial small subunit ribosomal RNA", at positions 508 to 807 of the family's 1533-position model. The record is from RNAcentral.